Molecule: ribosomal RNA, 253 nt
Filed under: uncultured bacterium
Lineage: Bacteria
Description: partial 16S ribosomal RNA
Rfam family: Bacterial small subunit ribosomal RNA
Source: RNAcentral
UACGUAGGGUGCGAGCGUUGUCCGGAAUUAUUGGGCGUAAAGGGCUCGUAGGCGGUCUGUCACGUCGGGAGUGAAAACUCAGGGCUUAACCCUGAGCCUGCUUCCGAUACGGGCAGACUAGAGGUAUGCAGGGGAGAACGGAAUUCCUGGUGUAGCGGUGAAAUGCGCAGAUAUCAGGAGGAACACCGGUGGCGAAGGCGGUUCUCUGGGCAUUACCUGACGCUGAGGAGCGAAAGCUAGGGGAGCAAACGGG